RNAcentral lists this ribosomal RNA (252 nucleotides) under uncultured bacterium. RNAcentral describes it as "partial 16S ribosomal RNA". It matches the Rfam family "Bacterial small subunit ribosomal RNA", at positions 524 to 776 of the family's 1533-position model. The record is from RNAcentral.
UACGUAGGGGGCAAGCGUUGUCCGGAAUUAUUGGGCGUAAAGCGCGCGCAGGCGGUCGAUUAAGUCUGGUGUUUAAGGCUGUGGCUCAACCACAGUUCGCACUGGAAACUGGUCGACUUGAGUGCAGAAGAGGAAAGUGGAAUUCCACGUGUAGCGGUGAAAUGCGUAGAGAUGUGGAGGAACACCAGUGGCGAAGGCGGCUCUCUGGUCUGUAACUGACGCUGAGGCGCGAAAGCGUGGGGAGCAAACAGG